Molecule: ribosomal RNA, 491 nt
Filed under: uncultured Methanosaeta sp.
Lineage: Archaea; Methanobacteriati; Methanobacteriota; Methanomicrobia; Methanotrichales; Methanotrichaceae
Description: bacterial SSU rRNA
Rfam family: Archaeal small subunit ribosomal RNA
Source: RNAcentral
CUCAGAAACUUAAAGGAAGUUGACGGGGAGCACUACAACGGGUGGAGCCUGCGGUUUAAUUGGAUUCAACGCCGGAAAUCUCACCGGGGCGACAGCAAUAUGAAGGUCAGGCUGAAGACCUUACCCGAUUAGCUGAGAGGUGGUGCAUGGCCGUCGUCAGUUCGUACUGUGAAGCAUCCUGUUAAGUCAGGCAACGAGCGAGACCCACGUCCACAGUUGCCAGCAUACCCUCCGGGGUGAUGGGUACACUGUGGAGACCGCCGCUGCUAAAGCGGAGGAAGGAGUGGGCAACGGUAGGUCAGUAUGCCCCGAAUCUCCCGGGCUACACGCGGGCUACAAUGGUUGGUACAAUGGGCAUCUACCCCGAAAGGGGAAGGAAAUCUCUUAAAGCCAAUCGUAGUUCGGAUUGAGGGCUGCAACUCGCCCUCAUGAAGCUGGAAUCCGUAGUAAUCGCGUUUCAACAGAACGCGGUGAAUACGUCCCUGCUCCUU